UGGAGAGGUGUCGGAGCGGCUGAUCGAGCUGGUUUCGAAAACCAGUGUGCUCUUUACCGAGUACCGCGAGUUCGAAUCUCGCCCUCUCCGU
RNAcentral lists this transfer RNA (91 nucleotides) under bacterium ADurb.Bin157. RNAcentral's name for it is "tRNA-Ser". It matches the Rfam family "tRNA". Rfam says of the family: Transfer RNA (tRNA) molecules are approximately 80 nucleotides in length. The record is from RNAcentral.